ACCCGCUGAAUUUAAGCAUAUAAGUAAGUGGUGGAAAUUAAACCAAAUGGGAUUCCUUAAGUAAUUGCGAAUGAACAAGGACAUGCUUAGCUUGACAAUUGGAGCCUCUGGCUUCGACUUGUAUUUUUGAAAUGUAUUACCAACAGAGGUGCAGGUGUCAGCCUAUUGAAAGAAAGCGUCAAUGAGGGUGAGAAUCCUGUUUGUCAUGUGCAAUCCUCUGUGCACGGUGUAUGUUUGCUGAGUCACACUCCUUGGCAUUGGAAUGCAAAGUGGGUGGUAAGUUUCAUGUAAAGGUAAAUAUAGGAUUGAGACUGAUAGCACACAAGUACCAUGAGGGAAAUAUGAAAAGGACUUUGAAAAGAGAAUUAAAUGAGUUUGUAUUUGCUGAACAGAAAAUAAACAGAUUUGAUGUUGCUUGGUGAGAUUGUGGUGCUUGCUUGACAAUAGGUUUUGAUUGUGGGUGCGAUGAUUCUUGCUUUGCUUGCCAGUUUCUAUUUGUACAUUUGAUUACCCUUGCACAUGAAUGGUAAUUUUCCUGCGGGGUUUGGAUUGCAUGUGUUUGUGAUGAUUUGUGUUUUGAUGCAUGUGUCUGGUGCUUUUGUAAUUGCUCAUUUCUUGAAGCUGGGCCUACCCUACUAGAGCUUACAAGCCCUGGCACACAAUUGCUGGCAAAAUGCUUCUGCUUGACCCGUCUUGAAACACGGACCAAGG
Molecule: ribosomal RNA, 711 nt
Filed under: Alexandrium affine
Lineage: Eukaryota; Dinophyceae; Gonyaulacales; Pyrocystaceae
Description: partial 24S large subunit ribosomal RNA
Rfam family: Eukaryotic large subunit ribosomal RNA
Source: RNAcentral